CAGACGGAGCUGGAGCUGCUGGACCCCCCCAAUCCCCUCCCCCUCAUUUUGGGGGCGUCCCUGGGGGGGCUCCUCCUGCUGGGCCUGGUGGCCCUGGGGCUCUACAAGCUGGGAUUCUUCAAGCGCCGCUACAAGGAAAUGCUGGAGGGCGCCGAGACCCCCGGGGACCCCCCCGGGGACCCCCAGGGCUGAGAGAAUUUGGGGAAAAUUCCUCAGAAAACCUCAUUUAAAUACUCAUUAAAAUGCCUCGAAACUUCAUUCCAAUAUGCCAUUCAAGUUCAUGAAACCUUCA
Lonchura striata (white-rumped munia) is the source of this 292-nucleotide non-coding RNA. The record is from RefSeq and is a predicted model, not a curated record. NCBI's taxonomy places the organism in Eukaryota, Metazoa, Chordata, Aves, Passeriformes, Estrildidae.